AUUCUGCCCAAGCGGGGAAGGAUGAGAAGCUUCGACUAAGGUUCGACUCGAGCGCCAGCGAGAGAGCGUUGCCGCAGGCAACGACCCGAAGGGCGAAGCGCGCAGCGCUGAGUA
This 114-nucleotide small RNA is filed under the name Escherichia coli. RNAcentral's name for it is "partial RtT sRNA". It matches the Rfam family "RtT RNA", at positions 1 to 112 of the family's 130-position model. From Rfam's summary of the family: This family represents a bacterial cis-regulatory element known as RtT RNA. The exact function of RtT is unknown although it is thought that it may be involved in changing the cellular response in relation to amino acid starvation. Lineage: Bacteria; Pseudomonadati; Pseudomonadota; Gammaproteobacteria; Enterobacterales; Enterobacteriaceae. The record is from RNAcentral. RNAcentral also lists the same sequence under 1 other name.